Molecule: ribosomal RNA, 253 nt
Filed under: uncultured bacterium
Lineage: Bacteria
Description: partial 16S ribosomal RNA
Rfam family: Bacterial small subunit ribosomal RNA
Source: RNAcentral
UACGUAGGGUGCAAGCGUUGUCCGGAAUUAUUGGGUUUAAAGGGUGCGUAGGCGGCAUUUUAAGUCAGUGGUGAAAUACUUCAGCUUAACUGGAGAGGUGCCAUUGAUACUGGGAUGCUUGAGUACUGAUGAGGUAGGCGGAAUGGACGGUGUAGCGGUGAAAUGCUUAGAUAUCGUCCAGAACACCGAUAGCGAAGGCAGCUUACUAAGGAGUAACUGACGCUGAGGCACGAAAGUGUGGGGAUCAAACAGG